RNAcentral lists this ribosomal RNA (253 nucleotides) under uncultured bacterium. RNAcentral's name for it is "partial 16S ribosomal RNA". It matches the Rfam family "Bacterial small subunit ribosomal RNA", at positions 524 to 776 of the family's 1533-position model. The record is from RNAcentral.
UACGUAGGGUGCGAGCGUUAAUCGGAAUUACUGGGCGUAAAGCGUGCGCAGGCGGCUAUACAAGACAGGCGUGAAAUCCCCGGGCUUAACCUGGGAACUGCGUUUGUGACUGUAUGGCUAGAGUACGGCAGAGGGGGGUGGAAUUCCACGUGUAGCAGUGAAAUGCGUAGAGAUGUGGAGGAAUACCGAUGGCGAAGGCAGCCCCCUGGGUUGAUACUGACGCUCAUGCACGAAAGCGUGGGGAGCAAACAGG